GCUUACGGCCAUACCACGUUGAAAACACGCCAUCCCGUCCGAUCUGGCAAGUUAAGCAACGUUGGGCCUGGUUAGUACUUGGAUUGGAGACUGAGUGAGAUACGUGGAAUCUAACUU
RNAcentral lists this ribosomal RNA (117 nucleotides) under Dictyocaulus viviparus (bovine lungworm). The record is from RNAcentral. Lineage: Eukaryota; Metazoa; Nematoda; Chromadorea; Rhabditida; Metastrongylidae.